RNAcentral lists this ribosomal RNA (367 nucleotides) under Stenotrophomonas maltophilia. RNAcentral's name for it is "bacterial SSU rRNA". It matches the Rfam family "Bacterial small subunit ribosomal RNA", at positions 56 to 419 of the family's 1533-position model. The record is from RNAcentral. Lineage: Bacteria; Pseudomonadati; Pseudomonadota; Gammaproteobacteria; Lysobacterales; Lysobacteraceae.
UGCAAGUCGAACGGCAGCACAGGAGAGCUUGCUCUCUGGGUGGCGAGUGGCGGACGGGUGAGGAAUACAUCGGAAUCUACUCUGUCGUGGGGGAUAACGUAGGGAAACUUACGCUAAUACCGCAUACGACCUACGGGUGAAAGCAGGGGAUCUUCGGACCUUGCGCGAUUGAAUGAGCCGAUGUCGGAUUAGCUAGUUGGCGGGGUAAAGGCCCACCAAGGCGACGAUCCGUAGCUGGUCUGAGAGGAUGAUCAGCCACACUGGAACUGAGACACGGUCCAGACUCCUACGGGAGGCAGCAGUGGGGAAUAUUGGACAAUGGGCGCAAGCCUGAUCCAGCCAUACCGCGUGGGUGAAGAAGGCCUUC